Molecule: ribosomal RNA, 467 nt
Filed under: Metschnikowia sp. (in: budding yeasts & allies)
Lineage: Eukaryota; Fungi; Ascomycota; Pichiomycetes; Serinales; Metschnikowiaceae
Description: Metschnikowia sp. (in: Fungi) partial large subunit ribosomal RNA
Rfam family: Eukaryotic large subunit ribosomal RNA
Source: RNAcentral
GCAAAAGCUCAAAUUUGAAAUCCCCCGGGAAUUGUAAUUUGAAGAGAUUUGGGUCCGGCCGGCAGGGGUUAAGUCCACUGGAAAGUGGCGCCACAGAGGGUGACAGCCCCGUGAACCCCUUUAACGCCCUCAUCCCAGAUCUCCAAGAGUCGAGUUGUUUGGGAAUGCAGCUCUAAGUGGGUGGUAAAUUCCAUCUAAAGCUAAAUACCGGCGAGAGACCGAUAGCGAACAAGUACAGUGAUGGAAAGAUGAAAAGCACUUUGAAAAGAGAGUGAAAAAGUACGUGAAAUUGUUGAAAGGGAAGGGCUUGCAAGCAGACACUUAACUGGGCCAGCAUCGGGGCGGCGGGAAGCAAAACCACCGGGGAAUGUACCUUUCGAGGAUUAUAACCCCGGUCUCUACUCCCUUGCUGCCCCGAGGCCUGCAAUCUAAGGAUGCUGGCGUAAUGGUUGCAAGUCGCCCGUCUU